RNAcentral lists this ribosomal RNA (413 nucleotides) under uncultured bacterium. RNAcentral's name for it is "bacterial SSU rRNA". It matches the Rfam family "Bacterial small subunit ribosomal RNA", at positions 984 to 1393 of the family's 1533-position model. The record is from RNAcentral.
GAGUCCUGAUGACAGACUUAGCAGAGAUGGAUUGGUGCCUUCGGGAACUGUGAGACAGGUGCUGCAUGGCUGUCGUCAGCUCGUGUUGUGAAAUGUUGGGUUAAGUCCCGCAACGAGCGCAACCCUUAUCCUUUGUUGCCAGCGGUUCGGCCGGGAACUCAAAGGAGACUGCCAGUGAUAAACUGGAGGAAGGUGGGGAUGACGUCAAGUCAUCAUGGCCCUUACGACCAGGGCUACACACGUGCUACAAUGGCAUAUACAAAGAGAAGCGACCUCGCGAGAGCAAGCGGACCUCAUAAAGUAUGUCGUAGUCCGGAUUGGAGUCUGCAACUCGACUCCAUGAAGUCGGAAUCGCUAGUAAUCGUAGAUCAGAAUGCUACGGUGAAUACGUUCCCGGGUCUUGUACACACCGA